GGUGCGAAAGCAGGUCAUAGUGAUCCGGUGGUUCUGAAUGGAAGGGCCAUCGCUCAACGGAUAAAAGGUACUCCGGGGAUAACAGGCUGAUACCGCCCAAGAGUUCAUAUCGACGGCGGUGUUUGGCACCUCGAUGUCGGCUCAUCACAUCCUGGGGCUGAAGUAGGUCCCAAGGGUAUGGCUGUUCGCCAUUUAAAGUGGUACGCGAGCUGGGUUUAGAACGUCGUGAGACAGUUCGGUCCCUAUCUGCCGUGGGCGCUGGAGAACUGAGGGGGGCUGCUCCUAGUACGAGAGGACCGGAGUGGACGCAUCACUGGUGUUCGGGUUGUCAUGCCAAUGGCACUGCCCGGUAGCUAAAUGCGGAAGAGAUAAGUGCUGAAAGCAUCUAAGCACGAAACUUGCCCCGAGAUGAGUUCUCCCUGACUCUUUAA
This 431-nucleotide ribosomal RNA is filed under the name Escherichia coli. Its description in RNAcentral is "partial 23S ribosomal RNA". It matches the Rfam family "Bacterial large subunit ribosomal RNA", at positions 2396 to 2824 of the family's 2925-position model. The record is from RNAcentral. Lineage: Bacteria; Pseudomonadati; Pseudomonadota; Gammaproteobacteria; Enterobacterales; Enterobacteriaceae.